Molecule: ribosomal RNA, 263 nt
Filed under: uncultured bacterium
Lineage: Bacteria
Description: partial 16S ribosomal RNA
Rfam family: Bacterial small subunit ribosomal RNA
Source: RNAcentral
AUUAACGCUAGCGGCAGGCAUAAUACAUGCAAGUUGAACGGCAGCACAGGUAGCAAUACUGGGUGGCGAGUGGCGCACGGGUGCGUAACACGUAUGCAACCUACCCUAUACAGGCGAAUAACCUUUAGAAAUGAGGGCUAAUACGCCGUAGUAUUACAGAUGGGCAUCUAUUUGUAAUUAAAGAUUUAUCGGUAUAGGAUGGGCAUGCGUCCCAUUAGUUAGUUGGUAGGGUAACGGCCUACCAAGGCGAUGAUGGGUAGGGG